Molecule: ribosomal RNA, 220 nt
Filed under: uncultured fungus
Lineage: Eukaryota; Fungi
Description: partial 18S ribosomal RNA
Rfam family: Eukaryotic small subunit ribosomal RNA (bases 45-220)
Source: RNAcentral
GGAUCAAUACAUUGGUCGUGCCUUGGUACGUACUAGUUUAUUGGUUUCUUCCUUCUGACGAACCAUGAUGUCAUUAAUUUGGUGUUAUGGGGAAUCAGGACUGUUACUUUGAAAAAAUUAGAGUGUUUAAAGCAGGCUUCACGCUUGAAUACAUUAGCAUGGAAUAAUGAAAUAGGACGUUUGAUUCUAUUUUGUGGUUUCUAGGAUCGACGUAAUGAUU